RNAcentral lists this long non-coding RNA (388 nucleotides) under Mytilus galloprovincialis (Mediterranean mussel). The record is from RNAcentral. Lineage: Eukaryota; Metazoa; Mollusca; Bivalvia; Mytilida; Mytilidae.
UGUCCUACAUUUGUUGAUUCAAUGCUAAACAUAUGAAAAAUUUAUUGAAAAUCCUAAGCCUUUCCCAUUGAACUCUCAUAUUUGGCAACCCGGUACUUGAUAUAUAGAGGAUUAUUGCAUGCAGUGUUCAAACAUCUAUCAAAGCUUUCUCCCCAGAAAACCUUUAUAGGUUUCUUUUGAUAUCGAACUGUAAAAUUAAAAGAAAUUAGUAACACUUAAUAUUAAUGAUGCACUUAUACAAAAUGGAAAUAAAACGACAACUACAAAAAGCCCAAAUGAAGUUACUUAACAAAAUUAUUUUCACUUUAUAUUUUGGGUAAACAGAGCUUAAAUUUAUCUUCCAAAAUGACACAAGUUCCAAAAUAUUAAUGUAGAUAAACAAGAAGAC